RNAcentral lists this ribosomal RNA (1537 nucleotides) under Echinometra mathaei. RNAcentral describes it as "16S ribosomal RNA". It matches the Rfam family "Bacterial large subunit ribosomal RNA", at positions 161 to 2769 of the family's 2925-position model. The record is from RNAcentral. Lineage: Eukaryota; Metazoa; Echinodermata; Echinoidea; Camarodonta; Echinometridae.
AAAAGUUAUAACUCUAGGUUAACCAAAAAUCUAAGCAGUAAAAACCUUUAAGAAAAAAAACACUCGUCUUUUGUCAGUAAGCUUAUUAGAAGACUUCUUUAACCGAUAGAAACAGUACCGCAAGGGAAAGAUGAAAUAACUAUAAAAAGUAAACCCAAAACAGGAAAGAUAACCCCUUUUACCUCGUGUAUAAUGGAUUAACGAGCAUAAAAGAAAAGAUAUUCUAAUCCCGAAACUGGAUGAGCUAGCCUUUCCUUCUUUCAAGAAGAACUAAACCACUGUUGCAAUAGUGGGAAAAAAGGAAAGGCUAGAUGUGAAAUGCUUAUCGCGUCUAGAAAUAGCUGGUUUCCCAAGAAAUUAGUCUUAGCUAAGCCCCUACAAGAAAAAUAGAACUACUUUAAAGGUAUAAAAAUAGAUUUAAAAUUUUUAAAGAGGGGUUAGGGCUUUAGGGACAAGCUUAGAGCCCAAAAUGGAAAGAUCCAAUACUAAUAGCCAAAGACAACAAUCUUAAAAAAUAGUCAUCAAUUAAAGAGUAGGCCUAGAAGCAGCCACCUAACAAGAAAGCGUUAAAGCUCAACUAUUUCCUAUGACUAAAAAAUUCCUGAAAGUUUUCUCUGAGGCUACAGUAACUUAUUGGGGCAUUCUUCAUCAAGAAAGGACAAUGUUAAUAUUAGUAAGAGACCUUCACCUGUGCCAUAUACGACCUUAACCCUGGAAGAAAUAAACACUGUAACUAGAAACCUUGUUUUAAUAGUCGUCUUCCAACCCAGGAGAAGAACAAUAAACGAAAGUGGAAAAAAGGAACUCGGCAAACUUAGGCUUCGCCUGUUUACCAAAAACAUCGCUCCCUGAACCUAUAAUAUAGGGGGUCCUGCCUGCCCAGUGACUAGAAGUUAAACGGCCGCGGUAUCUUGACCGUGCGAAGGUAGCAUAAUCAUUUGUCUCCUAAAUAGAGACUAGUAUGAAUGGCAAGACGGAGCCAAACUGUCUCUUUUCCAUAAUUCUGAAUUUCACUCCCCCGUGAAGAGGCGGGGAUAAAAUCGCUAGACGAGAAGACCCUGUCGAGCUUACAGCAAAACUCAAACUCUUAUUAUACUUUAUUCUUUACUAAUACGUGACAUUAUAAGGAAGCAAAGCCUCUAGGAGAUUAGAGAAAGCUUUGGUUGGGGCAAUCACGGAGUAAAAUAACCCUCCGCUAAUACAGAAAACUAUACUAAGAACCACAAUUCUAAAAUCAACAAUGAAAGUAUGAUCCACUAAGGUGAUCAAAGGAACAAGUUACCGCAGGGAUAACAGCGUUAUCUUUUCUGAGAGUUCACAUUGACGAAAAGGUUUGCGACCUCGAUGUUGGAUCGGGACAUCCUAAGGGUGCAGAAGCUUUUAAGGGUUGGUCUGUUCGACCAUUAAAGUCCUACGUGAUCUGAGUUCAGACCGGCGAGAGCCAGGUCAGUUUCUAUCUACGAUAAACAUCUUUCUUAGUACGAAAGGACCAGAAAGAAAGUGUCUAUGCAAGAUGUAAGCACUUCAAAUUAAAAAC